ACAGUGAGAAUGAAAUCGGAGGGAUCGAAAGCUCUGUUAUGGUCAAGAGGAGCUAGUCGGGUCUCACCCAGUCGAAUUCGCUCACCAAUCGAUGAGAAAGAUACAAGAGGCCAUGAGAAUCUUGAACAACACUUAUGGAACUGGUUCUCGAUGAUGACAGAUUUUGAAAGGCAAAUGCUUUUGAUCAGAGAGCAAGCUGGACAACAUUGCAUUGAGGUUUUGUGUUUGUGUUUGUGUUUGUGAUGCAAUUCUAUUAUGUGACAUUAUUAGCAGUUGCAUCUUUCGAUAGAAAAGUUGAGUAACUAUAUUACUUGUAAUAUACUGGUGUCAUCAACCUUUGUAAUUGUAUUCCCUGAUAUUGAAAUGUCAAGUUAUAUCAUUUUCUGUAUAGUGGAGUGACAUUUGAGUGUUCAUGUGGUCUGUUAUUUGAAAUGGUUGCAGAUUUCAAAGGCCUACUAAUAUCGUUCCUUCUUCAAUGCUGGGGAUUGGAUUCUCUGACUUGAGACUCGGAUUAUUUUGGUCUUGAAGAUUACCAGAAUGAUCCUCGUGAAUGAGAGAAGGUCCAGACAUUAGACGAUUAUCAAGCAAUAUUGGAAGAUCAAGUUGGACUCUCUAAGGGUGUAGUUGCCCCUAGUUUUUACAUAAAGAAUAGGGAAUGAUGGAUUAGUAACAUUGUGAUAUUGUCAUUUGGGUGUAUGUAACUAUGUUUAUGUUGCUUUUAAAUAUGCAAAUUCAGAAACCUCGUUUGAGUUUUCUUUUAAAUAUACAUGUACUUCGUAAUCAAAAUGAAAUACAUGUACUUUCUAAGGGUCCAUCUUCUCUUCCAAAUUGAUGUAUUCAAUAAUAUUAUUUCGUCCAUUAAAGUUUUGCUUGGAGAAAA
Fragaria vesca subsp. vesca is the source of this 880-nucleotide RNA transcript. RefSeq lists it as uncharacterized. Lineage: Eukaryota; Viridiplantae; Streptophyta; Magnoliopsida; Rosales; Rosaceae. The record is from RefSeq and is a predicted model, not a curated record. The transcript has 3 exons.